Long non-coding RNA from Panthera uncia (snow leopard), 1386 nucleotides. RefSeq lists it as uncharacterized. The record is from RefSeq and is a predicted model, not a curated record. The transcript is spliced from 6 exons. NCBI's taxonomy places the organism in Eukaryota, Metazoa, Chordata, Mammalia, Carnivora, Felidae.
CACCCACCACCCCUCCCCCAACCCUCAGUUUGUUCUCAACUCAGUAUUUAAGAGUCUCUUCUGUUUGUCUCCCUCUCUGUUUUUGUCUUUAUUUUUCCCUCCCUUCCCCUAUGUUCAUCUGUUUUGUUCCUUAAAUUCCACGUAUGAGUGAAAUCAUAUUUGUCUUUCCCUGACUAAUUUAUUUUGCUUAGCAUAAUACAUUCUAGAUUUACUAAAUUUAUAUAGAGUGUAAGAACACUUAAAAGGACCUAGAUUCAUCUUGUUUAUAAAUUACAAUUAAUUGGACUUAUGAAAAUUGACUAAAGACCCUGGAAAGGCUUGGUUUAUCUAUCGGACAAUUGAAGUACCUUACAGAGGAAAAAAUAUAUAUUAAAUUUACAAACCCAAUUUCAUUUAUUUAUUUAAUGUUUAUUUAUUUUUAAUUUUUUUUUUUGCUUAUUUAUUUUUUACAGAGAGAGAGAAAGAGUGGGAGAGGGGCAGAGAGAGAGAGACAGAAUCUGAAACAGUUUCCAGACUCUGAGCUGUCAGCACAGAGCCUGACGUGGGGCUCAAAUUGGGGAACGAGAAAGUUUACCACCCCUGGCCGAGAAAAGCCUAAGAUAUUUGCUAUCUGUCCCUUUACAGAAGAAAGUUUACCACCCCUGGCCGAGAAAAGCCUAAGAUAUUUGCUAUCUGUCCCUUUACAGAAGAAAGUUUACCACCCCUGGCCGAGAAGCCAUGAGGGCAAGUAUCAUCUUACAAAGCACCGGCUUCAGAUGAGAAAACCGGGGCUCCCAAAGGUCUGGCAACUCGCCCACAGCAGUGACCGACACGGGCUGAGGUCCUAGGUCUGCACGACCCGGAGUUAGCACACCUAAGCACCCUGCAGCGAAUGCCCGCCCCCACUGGAGACGGCGUGGGCGGGCAGACACUCGCACAUCUCCCCCAGGGUUCAUUGUGGAAUAAUUAAAACACGCACAAAAGCAAAGAGAAAAGGAAAAUCAACCCCCAUGAGCGCAUCACUCAGCUGCGGUCAUGAUUAACUCAACCACUCUCGUUUCGCCCACACACUCCCCGGAUCCCUGGAUUAUUUAGACCGUAUCACUGUGGUGCUCUUCUAAAAGUAUCGAUUCCUAAGCUACUCCCUCUGAAUUUUCUGAUUCAGUAAGUCAGGACUGGGGUCUGAGAAUCUGUAUGUUUUUAUCAGUUCCUUGGGUUUCGGAAGCUAUAGUAUAAAGAAACGAACAUGGGUUCUACAGCAGGCAGGUCCUAGUAUGAGUCCUGGCUUUGCCCAAGCUAUGCAACUUUGGGUGAAAAUUCACAGUUUUCAGACUUUUUGUCUCAAAGAACAACCACCUCUGUCAACCUGUGGUCUACUGAGACCGUCUGAUCCUUUUCACGUUAAAU